This 2006-nucleotide small RNA is filed under the name Pongo abelii (Sumatran orangutan). RNAcentral's name for it is "processed transcript". The record is from RNAcentral. Lineage: Eukaryota; Metazoa; Chordata; Mammalia; Primates; Hominidae.
AUUACACCAGCUCUCUCAGUCCAGGGAGGAGGAGGAGCAGGAGGAACGCGAGGAGGAAGGAGAGGAGGAGCGGCCAGCAGUAGCCACGACCGCCACCACCAGGCAGAGGAAGAGUUCGUGGGGAGGAAAAGACCUCUCCUCCCCCUUGGAGCGCCUUCUCUCUGCUUUUGGAGAAAGGGAAUACACGAUAAAGAAGGAGACGGAGAGAAGAGAAAAAGUGAAGCGGGAGACAGAGGAAAAAGGGCGUGAACAGAAAGGGCCGGAGCGCGCAGGGGAGCCCAGGGCACGGGGGAGGCACUGCGGAGCCGGGAGCGCUGCCGCUUGGGCAGGUGCCGCGGCCGCUGCCCGGAGGCGGCAUGUGACGCGCGGCCGCAGCUGCCCGCGGGCAGAGCGCUCUCAGACCCCGGAGCGCACACCGCGGGGCCAUCGGUGCCAUCGCGGAUCUCCAGGCUCCUCGUCAGUCCGCCGGGGCGGCAGCAGCGCUUCUGGGAAGACGGGCGAUGAACCGAAGGGCGGCUCUGGGCAGAGGCGCGCGAUCCUAAGGACAGUCGCUCCCUGAACGCUGAGCCGGAGGAGACGAAGGGAAGGUGGAGCGGACGCCACCCGCGCACCGGGCAGGCGCGGAGACCGGCGUGGGACAGCCACCUGGAGCGCAGCUGCCAGAAAGAAGGACUUUGCUGCUUUGGGCAAGGCUCUGAACUUAGGUGUAAAGCAUUGCCCUGGAAGAGGGAACCUACCCAGUCCAUUGCUGCCUGCAACAAGAUAUGAACAGUAAUGGCACAUAUUUUGGUUAUGCGUCACUCAGUGGACUGUGGAUUGAAUGAACUGUAUCCAUCCCCAUCAUGAUGUACAGAACCAAGUCUCUUCACUACACUUGUGUUCUGAUUAGUCGCCGAAUAAAUGACAGUCAGAACUUCAGCUAAGGUACGAUAAGCUUUUGCUGUGGCGUGGCACCUGGUCUCUUUCUAGAAGGAAAGUUCAACAAACAGCACAGUUCUGGACGCAUUGUAUUGGUUUGAUGCUUCUACCUGGAACAGAUUCUCAUGAGCUAGUAGCUUUGCAGGGGAGUCAUAAAGAGGAACAGGCAUUGUAAGCAAGGCCGAAGAAGCAACUGGUAACUAACAGUACAUCUUUUUCUAAGGCCAACACUAAACAUAAGUUGCAGAGCUGGCCUGUGGUGGAACUCACAAGUCUUAUUGGCAAUAUAUGUGAGGAGACAAAAAGCAACAUAUGGAGAAAUACAAAAAUAUACUCCCUAGAGAUACUGCCUCUUCAGAUGUCAAGAAAAACCUGGAUGAAAUGAAGCAAGAGUGGCACGCUGCAAAGUUACAAAUUCAAGGCCACCCACAGAACCAAACAUUAACACUUAGGUGGAGCUGGUCUCUUGGGCAGCCUGACAUCUGGUCCACUCCACUGUCCUAUGCCGGGAUCAUCAUGACCGUAGAGAUUAUGUCACUGUUUUGCAUCCUUGUUACAUAACUCAGUUCCUGGUAGAUUCCAGUGAAAGGCACAUGGUGGUGAUAUUUUUGAGAAAGUAGAGAAGAAAAGAAUGAAUCCUGAUGGUUGUUGAGACAGAACCUGAGCCUCGAACUUCAUUUUCUCCCGUACCCAAACCUUGGUGAAACAACAGAGGAAAGUAUUGUUCUGUAAUUGUAGGCAGAACAAAAGCAAACCUUGAGUCAUGGGUGACCAACCAAGGAAGAGUCCCCUUGGGAGGAGGAGGUGCCAAAGACCAGUGAUACUGCUUUGGGUUAUGUGCACUGAGGGUUUCCAACCCUGAUGGAUAUGGAUUCUAAUUUAAAAUAUCACAGAGAAGAAAAAAAUAGACGUUCCCAUGGCAACAUUUUCUCAGGGCCAGCUCUUCUGUCUUAUUAUCAUAUCUUAUUUAAAUAUUUCCUGGAAUCAGUUUAAACUUAAUCCCUCUGUGUGUCUUCUAUUUUCAGUGGCCAUGGAGAGCGUAACAUCUGGUCAGAGGUUUUCCUUAAAUAAAUUGUAUAAUCGUAGGC